CUGACCUCAAAUCAGGCAGGACUACCCGCUGAACUUAAGCAUAUCAA
Molecule: ribosomal RNA, 47 nt
Filed under: Clathrus archeri
Lineage: Eukaryota; Fungi; Basidiomycota; Agaricomycetes; Phallales; Clathraceae
Description: partial 28S ribosomal RNA
Source: RNAcentral